RNAcentral lists this small RNA (782 nucleotides) under Pongo abelii (Sumatran orangutan). RNAcentral describes it as "sense overlapping". The stretch from base 14 to 289 matches the Rfam family "SOX2 overlapping transcript exon 3". The record is from RNAcentral. Lineage: Eukaryota; Metazoa; Chordata; Mammalia; Primates; Hominidae.
CAGGGGAUUGCAGUGGCAAAGCUAGGCUAGGUCUUGGAGGCUGGUGUAAGGCGAUGCGGGUGAAGGCAGGAGGCUGAUGGAAAGACUGGGGGGAAGAAAAGCCGAAAUGGAUUCACGGUGCCUUGGAUGAAGGACGAGAGGGGAACUGCAAGCUCCUUCAACUGGUUCUGUCCGGUGAGAAGUGAUCAAGCUUGGGCUGACAAGAGGCUCAGGGAGCCCUCACGUUCUUUCGCUUUUUUACCUGCCAAUCAAACUGCUACAAGACAACACCCUGAUCUGGCAUGGACAUCGCGGGUCCAAGCCUGUAGCCCCAAAUCGGAUAAUCUCUGCAGCUGAUAACAAGCAAAAGAGAAGCCAGGCAACAGCCAUAUUAAAGAAGAAAACAAUCAACUCUGAGUCAUUGCAGUCACCUGGAGUCGCGGAAAUGACCAUGAUUGCCUGAACUUUCAUAACUUCUGUGGUUGCAGAAAAGAGAAAACCUGGACUGUGAGGGACAUUUUACUCCCUGACCUUUGGUACAUGGCCUCCCUACAGCGUUGGCUCAGCUCUAGCUACUUGGAAGGUCGUGGCAAUGCUGUCUCAGAAUGUCCAUUUCUAGAGUACAGGGAAGAAAUUCUAGCUUGACGUCCACGUGCAUUUGUCUGUGUUUCAGAGGAAAUUCCAGUUCUAAACUCUUGGAAGAAACAAUUUCUCGGCAUGCUGAAGAGACUUGCUGUUUUUUGGCACCUGAAACAUUUUUACCUGAGGGUUCUGAUUAUUUAAAUAAUUGGUAUGCUAUAACU